Molecule: transfer-messenger RNA, 371 nt
Filed under: Deltaproteobacteria bacterium
Lineage: Bacteria; Pseudomonadati; Myxococcota; Myxococcia
Also listed under: 1 other name
Rfam family: transfer-messenger RNA
About the family: Bacterial tmRNA, also known as 10Sa RNA or SsrA, is named for its dual tRNA and mRNA-like properties. Its role is to liberate the mRNA from a stalled ribosome.
Source: RNAcentral
GGGGGCGAAACGGUUUCGACGGGGUCGCAGUAGGUCGAGACAGCAUGCCGAGGGCGUUUGCACCUCGUAAAUCUCCGAACAAAACCAAAACGCCAACAACAACAACGCGUUCGCUAUCGCUGCUUAGUCAGUGUUAGCUGUCCGAACAGACUACUCUCCCAGGGUGCUGUUUGGGCAUGUCCAGACUGGGAUAGACCUGAGGCGCAAACGGCGUGGCUCUAGGGGUCGAUAAAUAACCAAAUCAAUUCGCCGACGACUCUAACGUAGGUUUGGUCCGAUGGACCUACGAGAGUUCGACACAUCGGGCUAAGCAUGUAGCGGUCAAGAACGAGUGAUUUCGGACGUGGGUUCGACUCCCACCGCCUCCACCU